UGCGGAAUGGAGGAGCGGUUUCCUUGCCAGCCUCAUAAGCUGGAGAUCGUGGGUUCAAAUCCCACUUCCGCAACCA
This 76-nucleotide transfer RNA is filed under the name Oscillospiraceae bacterium. RNAcentral's name for it is "tRNA-Met". It matches the Rfam family "tRNA". Rfam says of the family: Transfer RNA (tRNA) molecules are approximately 80 nucleotides in length. Their secondary structure includes four short double-helical elements and three loops (D, anti-codon, and T loops). RNAcentral also lists the same sequence under 1 other name. Lineage: Bacteria; Bacillati; Bacillota; Clostridia; Eubacteriales; Oscillospiraceae. The record is from RNAcentral.